CUGAAAUCAAGCGGGAUUACCCGCUGAACUUA
This 32-nucleotide ribosomal RNA is filed under the name Mucor microsporus. Its description in RNAcentral is "partial 28S ribosomal RNA". The record is from RNAcentral. Lineage: Eukaryota; Fungi; Mucoromycota; Mucoromycetes; Mucorales; Mucoraceae.